CCCUUGUAGCACGUGAAUUUUAACUUGAGGUCAAAUGUCAGGGUUAUCCUUGAAGUUCUAGUGCAUUUGUUUAGUUCUCAAAUACUAUUUUCUCGCCCCUUGUCAGUGAAUUGUAUAAGAUAUCCAUGAACGAUACAUAUUUAUAAAGAAAAAAAACUAAGUAACAGUCGAUUAUAAAUCUCGUGAGAACUAUAACAGGUACAACGAGACUACACUAUUGAAAGAACAAAUACAUUUGUAUUACGUUGUAUCCUUCUCAGCAACUACAUCAUUACAAAGGUUGCAGAUAGAUUUUUAGGCCUUUCCGUUGAAAGUGAAGGAAUCCGAAUGCCGCUAAAUGAUAAAAAUGGGAACGAUGGUUACGUUUGAUCUUGUGACCGGAAGCUAUCCACACUGUUUUGAGUUAUGAUACCCUCUUUCCAAAGAUACACGUGCAAAUACCAAGAGCAAUGCUGAUAACUGUCAACACUCCAAGCACGACAUAAAUAGAGGAUAUUAUCCAGAAUGAAAAGUAAUACAGCGUUGGAUUGCAGUAAUUAUCUAAAAUGGAGUUACUGCAUUGCCAGUCAUCGUAAGUUCUGUACACCCAUACAUUUCCU
Molecule: long non-coding RNA, 599 nt
Filed under: Mytilus galloprovincialis (Mediterranean mussel)
Lineage: Eukaryota; Metazoa; Mollusca; Bivalvia; Mytilida; Mytilidae
Source: RNAcentral